RNAcentral lists this ribosomal RNA (325 nucleotides) under Selenomonas sp. oral taxon E76. RNAcentral describes it as "bacterial SSU rRNA". It matches the Rfam family "Bacterial small subunit ribosomal RNA", at positions 183 to 484 of the family's 1533-position model. The record is from RNAcentral. Lineage: Bacteria; Bacillati; Bacillota; Negativicutes; Selenomonadales; Selenomonadaceae.
GGGAGGCAUCUCCCCCCGCAUGAAAGAUGGCCUAUACAUGUAAGCUAUCACUGAUCGAUGGGUCUGCGUCUGAUUAGCUGGUAGGUAAGGUAACGGCUUACCUAGGCGACGAUCAGUAGCCGGUCUGAGAGGAUGAACGGCCACAUUGGGACUGAGACACGGCCCAGACUCCUACGGGAGGCAGCAGUGGGGAAUCUUCCGCAAUGGGCGCAAGCCUGACGGAGCAACGCCGCGUGAGUGAAGAAGGUCUUCGGAUCGUAAAGCUCUGUUGAAGGGGACGAACGAUCGAGGGGCGAACAGGCUCUCGGUAUGACGGUACCUUUGA